UGGGGAAUCUUGGGCAAUGGGGGCAACCCUGACCCAGCGACGCCGCGUGGGGGAAGAAGUCUCUUGGGAUGUAAACCCCUGUUGUACGGGACGAGCGAGGACGGUACCGUACGAGGAAGCCCCGGCAAACUACGUGCCAGCAGCCGCGGUAAUACGUAGGGGGCGAGCGUUGUCCGGAAUUACUGGGCGUAAAGCGCGCGCAGGCGGGUUUGUAGGUCGGUCGUGAAAUGGACGGGCUCAACCCGGGCAGGGCGGUCGAUACCGCGAGACUGGAGUAUGAGAGAGGGAAGCGGAAUUCCCGGUGUAGCGGUGAAAUGCGUAGAUAUCGGGAGGAACGCCGGUGACGAAGGUGGCUUCCUGGCUCAUGACUGACGCUGAGGCGCGAAAGCCGGGGGAGCGAACG
Molecule: ribosomal RNA, 403 nt
Filed under: uncultured prokaryote
Description: bacterial SSU rRNA
Rfam family: Bacterial small subunit ribosomal RNA
Source: RNAcentral